This 1446-nucleotide long non-coding RNA is filed under the name Oncorhynchus mykiss (rainbow trout). RNAcentral's name for it is "lncRNA (ENSOMYG00000048062.1)". The record is from RNAcentral. Lineage: Eukaryota; Metazoa; Chordata; Actinopteri; Salmoniformes; Salmonidae.
AUGUGGCUGGAGACAUCACCUCCUGCAUCUAAUGCAGAGAGAGAAAAGAAGAGGGGAGGGGAACGGAGCCAACAGGGAGAGGAGGGAGAGAACAGGGAGGGGAGGGAGAGAACAGGGAGGGGAGGGAGAGAACAGGGAGGGGAGGGAGAGAACAGGGAGGGGAGGGAGAGUACAGGGAGAGUGGAAGGGAAGAGAGAGAACAGGGAGAGGGGAAGGGAAGAGAGAGAACAGGGAGAGGGGAAGGGAAGAGAGAGAUCAGGGAGAGGGGAAGGGAAGAGAGAGAACAGGGAGAGGGGAAGGGAAGAGAGAGAACAGGGAGAGGGGAAGGGAAGAGAGAGAACAGGGAGAGGGGAAGGGAAGAGAGAAAACAGGGGGAAGAGAGAGAACAGGGGGAAGGGAGAGAACAGGGAGCGGAGGGAGAGAACAGGGGGAAGGGAGAGAACAGGGAGGGAAGAGAGAGAACAGGGGGAAGGGAGAGAACAGGAAGGGGAGGGAGAGAACAGGGAGGGGAGGGAGAGAACAGGGAGGGGAGGGAGAGAACAGGGAGGGGAGGGAGAGAACAGUGAGGGGAGGGAGAGAACAGGGAGGGGAGGGAGAGAACAGGGGGAGGGAGAGAACAGGGAGGGGAGGGAGAGAACAGGGAGAGGGGAAGAGAGAGAACAGGGAGAGGGGAAGAGAGAGAACAGGGAGAAGGGAGAGAACAGGGGGAAGGGAGAGAACAGGGAGGGGAGGGAGAGAACAGGGAGGGGAGGGAGAGAACAGGGUGAAGGGAGAGAACAGGGGGAAGAGGGAGAGAACAGGGAGGGGAGGGAGAGAACAGGGAGGGGAGGGAGAGAACAGGGAGGGGAGAGAGAGAACAGUGAGGGGAGGGAGGGAACAGGGAGAGGGGAAGAGCGAGAACAGGGAGAGGGGAAGGGAAGAGAGAGAACAGGGGGAAGGGAGAGAACAGGGGGAAGGGAGAGAACAGGGAGCGGAGGGAGAGAACAGGGAGAGGGGAAGGGAAGAGAGAGAUCAGGGAGAGGGGAAGGGAAGAGAGAGAACAGGGAGAGGGGAAGGGAAGAGAGAGAACAGGGAGAGGGGAAGGGAAGAGAGAGAACAGGGAGAGGGGAAGGGAAGAGAGAGAACAGGGGGAAGAGAGAGAACAGGGGGAAGGGAGAGAACAGGGAGCGGAGGGAGAGAACAGGGGGAAGGGAGAGAACAGGGAGGGAAGAGAGAGAACAGGGGGAAGGGAGAGAACAGGGAGGGGAGGGAGAGAACAGGGAGGGGAGGGAGAGAACAGUGAGGGGAGGGAGAGAACAGGGAGGGGAGGGAGAGAACAGGGAGGGGAGGGAGAGAACAGGGAGAGGGGAAGAGAGAGAACAGGGAGAGGGGAAGAGAGAGAACAGGGAGAAGGGAGAGAACAGGGGGAAGGGAGAGAACAGGGAGGGGAGGGAGAGAACAGGGUGA